Molecule: ribosomal RNA, 398 nt
Filed under: uncultured bacterium
Lineage: Bacteria
Description: partial 16S ribosomal RNA
Rfam family: Bacterial small subunit ribosomal RNA
Source: RNAcentral
CCUACGGGUGGCAGCAGUGAGGAAUAUUGGUCAAUGGACGCAAGUCUGAACCAGCCAUGCCGCGUGCAGGAGGACGGCUCUAUGAGUUGUAAACUGCUUUUGUAAGGGAGUAAAGCCCGAGACGCGUACCGGGUUGAAAGUAUCGGAAGAAAAAGGAUCGGCUAACUCCGUGCCAGCAGCCGCGGUAAUACGGAGGAUCCGAGCGUUAUCCGGAUUUAUUGGGGUUAAAGGGUGCGGAGGCGGUUUGGUAAGUUAGAGGUGAAAGGCCGGGGCUCAACCCCGGCCCUGCCUCUAAAACUGUUAGACUAGAGUGUAGGUGCGGUAGGCGGAAUGUACGGUGUAGCGGUGAAAUGCAUAGAGAUCGUACAGAACUCCGAUUGCGAAGGCAGCAUGCCGAC